Molecule: unclassified non-coding RNA, 205 nt
Filed under: plant metagenome
Description: partial contains small subunit ribosomal RNA, internal transcribed spacer 1, and 5.8S ribosomal RNA
Source: RNAcentral
GUAGGUGAACCUGCGGAAGGAUCAUUAUUGAAACUUCAUCCGGGGCGCCGCGGCACUCAGCACCGGUGGAAACGCCGUGUUGCGAGGGCCGUGCGUGCACUCGUCCAAACCAAACCCCUGUGAACUUUUCGGGAGGGUCUGGGUUAACGCCUGGGCCGUUCCGCUUAUACAAACACUUUUUUAAAAGAAUGAACUGAAGGCGGUC